RNAcentral lists this ribosomal RNA (659 nucleotides) under uncultured archaeon. RNAcentral's name for it is "bacterial SSU rRNA". It matches the Rfam family "Archaeal small subunit ribosomal RNA", at positions 1 to 658 of the family's 1478-position model. The record is from RNAcentral.
UUCGCCCUUUUCCGGUUGAUCCUGCCGGACCUGACUGCUAUCGGAUUGAUACUAAGCCAUGCGAGUCAUUGUAGCAAUACAAGGCAGACGACUCAGUAACGCGUAGUCAACCUAACCUAUGGACGGGAAUAACCUCGGGAAACUGAGAAUAAUGCCCGAUAGAACACUAUACCUGGAAUGGUUUGUGUUCCAAAUGAUUUAUCGCCGUAGGAUGGGACUGCGGCCUAUCAGUUUGUUGGUGAGGUAAUGGCCCACCAAGACUAUUACAGGUACGGGCUCUGAGAGGAGUAGCCCGGAGAUGGGUACUGAGACACGGACCCAGGCCCUAUGGGGCGCAGCAGGCGAGAAAACUUUGCAAUGUGCGAAAGCACGACAAGGUUAAUCCGAGUGAUUUGUGCUAAACGAAUCUUUUGUUAGUCCUAGAACCACUAACGAAUAAGGGGUGGGCAAGUUCUGGUGUCAGCCGCCGCGGUAAAACCAGCACCUCAAGUGGUCAGGAUGAUUAUUGGGCCUAAAGCAUCCGUAGCCGGCUCUGUAAGUUUUCGGUUAAAUCUGUACGCUUAACGUACAGGCUGCCGGGAAUACUGCAGAGCUAGGGAGUGGGAGAGGUAGACGGUACUCGGUAGGAAGGGGUAAAAUCCUUUGAUCUAUUGAUGACC